This 609-nucleotide ribosomal RNA is filed under the name uncultured Lachnospiraceae bacterium. Its description in RNAcentral is "bacterial SSU rRNA". It matches the Rfam family "Bacterial small subunit ribosomal RNA", at positions 93 to 720 of the family's 1533-position model. The record is from RNAcentral. Lineage: Bacteria; Bacillati; Bacillota; Clostridia; Lachnospirales; Lachnospiraceae.
GAGCGGCGGACGGGUGAGUAACGCGUGGGUAACCUGCCUCAUACAGGGGGAUAACAGUUGGAAACGGCUGCUAAUACCGCAUAAGCGCACAGUACCGCAUGGUACGGUGUGAAAAACUCCGGUGGUAUGAGAUGGACCCGCGUCUGAUUAGGUAGUUGGUGGGGUAACGGCCUACCAAGCCGACGAUCAGUAGCCGACCUGAGAGGGUGACCGGCCACAUUGGGACUGAGACACGGCCCAAACUCCUACGGGAGGCAGCAGUGGGGAAUAUUGCACAAUGGGGGAAACCCCUGAUGCAGCGACGCCGCGUGAGCGAUGAAGUAUUUCGGUAUGUAAAGCUCUAUCAGCAGGGAAGAAAAUGACGGUACCUGACUAAGAAGCCCCGGCUAACUACGUGCCAGCAGCCGCGGUAAUACGUAGGGGGCAAGCGUUAUCCGGAUUUACUGGGUGUAAAGGGAGCGUAGACGGCAUGGCAAGCCAGAUGUGAAAGCCCGGGGCUCAACCCCGGGACUGCAUUUGGAACUGUCAGGCUAGAGUGUCGGAGAGGAAAGCGGAAUUCCUAGUGUAGCGGUGAAAUGCGUAGAUAUUAGGAGGACACCAGUGGCGAAG